This 491-nucleotide unclassified non-coding RNA is filed under the name Hevea brasiliensis (rubber tree). The record is from RNAcentral. Lineage: Eukaryota; Viridiplantae; Streptophyta; Magnoliopsida; Malpighiales; Euphorbiaceae.
AAAAACGCGAGUUCCUUUUGGAUUUCCUUUUUGAUCAAUGAUAACCGCUGCAUUGUCGUCAUAGCGUAUUAUUAUACCGUCUUCGCAUUUGAACUCUUUACAUGUACGUACAAUUACAGCUCGAAUUACUUCGGAUCUUUCUAGAGGCAUUUGGGGCACUGCGUCUUUGAUUACAGCAACAAUAACAUCACCAAUACGAGCAUAUCGCUGAUUACUAGCAGCUCCUAUGACUCGAAUACACAUCAAUUUUCGAGCUCCACUGUUAUCUGCUACAUUUAAAAGGGUCUGAGGUUGAAUCAUAUUAUUUUGAUUUCAAUUUGUUAUUUCAAUGCAAAAGGAUGAAAGAAAUAUUGUCUUUCCAGAAAGAAGAACCUGGUUUUUUAUUUUCAAUACUACUUUUUUUGGGGGGUUAUAUUUCUAACCGAAGAAAUUGACUUCGUAUGGGCAUUUUGCUGGCAGCUAUGGAAAUAGCUGCUCUAGCUACAGUUUCG